This 23-nucleotide non-coding RNA is filed under the name Drosophila melanogaster (fruit fly). The record is from RNAcentral. Lineage: Eukaryota; Metazoa; Arthropoda; Insecta; Diptera; Drosophilidae.
GAUUUGCUCCAAGUUCUUUUCAC